RNAcentral lists this non-coding RNA (27 nucleotides) under Bombyx mori (domestic silkworm). The record is from RNAcentral. Lineage: Eukaryota; Metazoa; Arthropoda; Insecta; Lepidoptera; Bombycidae.
AACCCCAUCUGAAGGGCCAACAGUUUC